GACGAACCGUACAAACGUUAUUCGGAAUUACUGGGCUUAAAGGGUGCGUAGGCUGUGCGGAAAGUUGGGUGUGAAAUCCUCCAGCUCAACUGGGGAACUGCGCUCAAAACUACCGUGCUCGAGGAAGACAGAGGUGAGCGGAACUUAGGGUGGAGCGGUGAAAUGCGUUGAUAUCCUAAGGAACACCGGUGGCGAAAGCGGCUCACUGGGUCUUUUCUGACGCUGAGGCACGAAAGCUAGGGGAGCAAACGGG
RNAcentral lists this ribosomal RNA (253 nucleotides) under uncultured bacterium. Its description in RNAcentral is "partial 16S ribosomal RNA". It matches the Rfam family "Bacterial small subunit ribosomal RNA", at positions 524 to 776 of the family's 1533-position model. The record is from RNAcentral.